RNAcentral lists this unclassified non-coding RNA (363 nucleotides) under Hevea brasiliensis (rubber tree). Lineage: Eukaryota; Viridiplantae; Streptophyta; Magnoliopsida; Malpighiales; Euphorbiaceae. The record is from RNAcentral.
AACCUGAGAACAUAACCAGGAAACUAUAGUGACAUCACUUCGAUGCAAUGCUGCUGUGAAUGCUUCCUCAAAUUUGCACUCAGCUAUCAAUCUGGAUAAUUCUUUUGUUGGAUCCAAAUGAGCCUCAGCCAUCUCAUGUAGACCAGCCAAUGGUCCAUUACUCAAAGAAGGAUUUCCCACUUUGGAAUUCGCACCUGCAGCUGCAAUAGCUAAAAGAUUGCGUUGGCCCUCGGCUAAUCGUCCACUCAGGGUCUGAGUGAUUGAUGAUGCUGAACUGAUAGCAUCCCUAAGAGCAAUGGCCAAGUGAGAAUGCGUGGAGUCAAACUGUUGCUGAAUGGCAUGUAGAUGAUCAAUGAACCCUUU